This 672-nucleotide ribosomal RNA is filed under the name Cellulosimicrobium sp. RNAcentral describes it as "bacterial SSU rRNA". It matches the Rfam family "Bacterial small subunit ribosomal RNA", at positions 98 to 785 of the family's 1533-position model. Lineage: Bacteria; Bacillati; Actinomycetota; Actinomycetes; Micrococcales; Promicromonosporaceae. The record is from RNAcentral.
GCGAACGGGUGAGUAACACGUGAGUAACCUGCCCUUGACUUCGGGAUAACUCCGGGAAACCGGGGCUAAUACCGGAUAUGAGCCACCCUCGCAUGGGGGUGGUUGGAAAGUUUUUCGGUCAGGGAUGGGCUCGCGGCCUAUCAGCUUGUUGGUGGGGUGAUGGCCUACCAAGGCGACGACGGGUAGCCGGCCUGAGAGGGCGACCGGCCACACUGGGACUGAGACACGGCCCAGACUCCUACGGGAGGCAGCAGUGGGGAAUAUUGCACAAUGGGCGCAAGCCUGAUGCAGCGACGCCGCGUGAGGGAUGAAGGCCUUCGGGUUGUAAACCUCUUUCAGCAGGGAAGAAGCGCAAGUGACGGUACCUGCAGAAGAAGCGCCGGCUAACUACGUGCCAGCAGCCGCGGUAAUACGUAGGGCGCAAGCGUUGUCCGGAAUUAUUGGGCGUAAAGAGCUCGUAGGCGGUUUGUCGCGUCUGGUGUGAAAACUCGAGGCUCAACCUCGAGCUUGCAUCGGGUACGGGCAGACUAGAGUGCGGUAGGGGAGACUGGAAUUCCUGGUGUAGCGGUGGAAUGCGCAGAUAUCAGGAGGAACACCGAUGGCGAAGGCAGGUCUCUGGGCCGCAACUGACGCUGAGGAGCGAAAGCAUGGGGAGCGAACAGGAUUAGAUAC